UGGAGAUGGCCAGCCUUACCCUGUCUGCAUCUGCGUGGGGCACCAGGCUCCUCUGCUGCGUGGCCCUCUGUCUCCUGGAGGCAGGUUCAGUGGAUGCUGGAGUCACCCAGUCCCCAACACACCUAAUCAAACGCCGUGACGGGAAGGCCGUUCUGAUAUGCCACCCCAUGUCUGGACACGAUACUGUGUCCUGGUACCAGCAGGCUCAGGGGCAGGGCCUCCAAUUCCUCAUUCAGUAUUAUGAGAAGGAGGAGAGAGAGAGAGGAAACAUCCCUGAUCGCUUCUCAGCUCAACAGUUCAACAACUACAGCUCAGAGCUGACCAUGAACAACUUGCAGCUGGAAGACUCGGCUGUGUAUCUCUGUGCCAGCAGCUUAGACACAGCCCUGCAGGGUUAA
Non-coding RNA from Hipposideros armiger (great roundleaf bat), 398 nucleotides. NCBI's taxonomy places the organism in Eukaryota, Metazoa, Chordata, Mammalia, Chiroptera, Hipposideridae. The record is from the annotation of a RefSeq genome assembly.